ACACUUACCUGGCAGGGGAGGUACCGUGAUGAAGAAGGCCGUUCACCCCGGCGAUCACUGACCCCAAAUCUCGACUGCAUCAUUUCUGGUAGUGGAGGACUGUUCGCACUCUCCAC
This is a small nuclear RNA of 116 nucleotides. Its record names the gene U1. It matches the Rfam family "U1 spliceosomal RNA". From Rfam's summary of the family: U1 is a small nuclear RNA (snRNA) component of the spliceosome (involved in pre-mRNA splicing). Its 5' end forms complementary base pairs with the 5' splice junction, thus defining the 5' donor site of an intron. The record is from Ensembl.